GACGUGACUUCAGAGUUUGAUCCUGGCUCAGGACGAACGCUGGCGGCGUGCCUAACACAUGCAAGUCGAACGGAGUAAGACGCUGGUUGAUAGCUUCGGCAGGAUUCCUUGUCUUACUUAGUGGCGGACGGGUGAGUAACGCGUGAGCAACCUGCCCUUGAGUGGGGAAUAACGUUCUGAAAGAACGCUAAUACCGCAUAACAUAUCGGAGUCGCAUGGCUCUGAUAUCAAAGAUUUAUCGCUCAAGGAUGGGCUCGCGUCCGAUUAGGUAGUUGGUGAGGUAACGGCUCACCAAGCCGACGAUCGGUAGCCGGACUGAGAGGUUGAACGGCCACAUUGGGACUGAGACACGGCCCAG
RNAcentral lists this ribosomal RNA (358 nucleotides) under uncultured bacterium. Its description in RNAcentral is "bacterial SSU rRNA". It matches the Rfam family "Bacterial small subunit ribosomal RNA", at positions 1 to 334 of the family's 1533-position model. The record is from RNAcentral.